GAAACAUGGAGUAAUACCGGAUAAGUCCAGUUUUUUACGAAUUUCUGGAGAAAGCUGCUUUACAGCAGCACUGUAAGAUGAGCCUGCGGUCCAUUAGCUAGUUGGUGGGGUAAGAGCCUACCAAGGCGACGAUGGAUAGCCGGCCUGAGAGGGUGUACGGUCACACUGGGACUGAGACACGGCCCAGACUCCUACGGGAGGCAGCAGCUAAGAAUCUUCCGCAAUGGGCGAAAGCCUGACGGAGCGACGCCGCGUGAGCGAAGAAGGCGGAAACGUUGUAAAGCUCUUUUCUAUGUUUAGAAUAAGGCUAUUAGGAAAUGAGUAGCUGAUGACAUAUGCAUAGGAAUAAGCCCCGGCCAAUUACGUGCCAGCAGCCGCGGUAAUACGUAAGGGGCAAGCGUUGUUCGGAAUCAUUGGGCGUAAAGGGCGUGUAGGCGGUUAUACAAGCUCGAUGUGAAAUAUCCCGGCUUAACCGGGAAAAUGCGUUGAGAACUGUAUGACUUGAGUUUUUGGGGGGAAGCUGGAAUUCCUGGUGUAGGGGUGAAAUCUG
This 550-nucleotide ribosomal RNA is filed under the name uncultured bacterium. Its description in RNAcentral is "bacterial SSU rRNA". It matches the Rfam family "Bacterial small subunit ribosomal RNA", at positions 153 to 690 of the family's 1533-position model. The record is from RNAcentral.